AAACUUGCACGGCAGGAGAGAUUCCUUGAUCAAGAAGGUGGUUUUCCCAGGGUGAGGCUUAUCUACUUCCCUCCAGGUGUGCUGACCUCUGCGAUUUCCCCAAACAAGAGACAUUUGGGCACAUCAUCUGAGGUAGUGGGGGACUGCAAUUGUAUUCUCCCCUU
This is a small nuclear RNA of Microtus ochrogaster (prairie vole), 164 nucleotides long. Its record names the gene U1. It matches the Rfam family "U1 spliceosomal RNA". Rfam says of the family: U1 is a small nuclear RNA (snRNA) component of the spliceosome (involved in pre-mRNA splicing). Its 5' end forms complementary base pairs with the 5' splice junction, thus defining the 5' donor site of an intron. There are significant differences in sequence and secondary structure between metazoan and yeast U1 snRNAs, the latter being much longer (568 nucleotides as compared to 164 nucleotides in human). NCBI's taxonomy places the organism in Eukaryota, Metazoa, Chordata, Mammalia, Rodentia, Cricetidae. The record is from Ensembl.